This 284-nucleotide ribosomal RNA is filed under the name uncultured bacterium. Its description in RNAcentral is "partial 16S ribosomal RNA". It matches the Rfam family "Bacterial small subunit ribosomal RNA", at positions 337 to 638 of the family's 1533-position model. The record is from RNAcentral.
ACCUACGGGACGCAGCAGUGGGGAAUAUUGCACAAUGGGGGGAACCCUGAUGCAGCGACGCCGCGUGAGUGAAGAAGUAUUUCGGUAUGUAAAGCUCUAUCAGCAGGGAAGAAAAUGACGGUACCUGACUAAGAAGCCCCGGCUAACUACGUGCCAGCAGCCGCGGUAAUACGUAGGGGGCAAGCGUUAUCCGGAUUUACUGGGUGUAAAGGGAGCGCAGACGGCUGUGCAAGUCUGGAGUGAAAGGCGGGGGCCCAACCCCCGGACUGCUCUGGAAAAUGUAA